AAAGGGUGCGUAGGCGGCCUGUUAAGUCAGGGGUGAAAGACGGUAGCUCAACUAUCGCAGUGCCCUUGAUACUGAUGGGCUUGAAUUGACUAGAGGUAGGCGGAAUGUGACAAGUAGCGGUGAAAUGCAUAGAUAUGUCACAGAACACCGAUUGCGAAGGCAGCUUACUAUGGUCUUAUUGACGCUGAGGCAUGAAAGCGUGGGGAUCAAACAGGAUUAGAUACCCUUGU
RNAcentral lists this ribosomal RNA (230 nucleotides) under uncultured bacterium. Its description in RNAcentral is "partial 16S ribosomal RNA". It matches the Rfam family "Bacterial small subunit ribosomal RNA", at positions 562 to 791 of the family's 1533-position model. The record is from RNAcentral.